GGGGACGAAACGGAUUCGACGGGGAUCAUGAAGUUUCGUGGAGCGUGCCGGGGAUGUCUCUCACCCUCGUUAAAAAGUGAGGCACGUGUUAAACGCCAACGACAACGUUGCGUUCGCCCGCGCCGCCUAGGCGGUUUGCGGGUGCGUCGGCCCCGAGCUCCUGCUCGCGAUUUCGGGUGCCGGCGUCAUCGAGCGAGCUGCUCACCAUAUCCGGCUUCGGGACGUGGUGAAAAGAUAAACAGAGCAAACGGAUCAGGGAGCGUGUCCUUGCGCGCCCCGAUCUGAUCAAGCAAGGACUACGCACGUAGUGCCACGCGACGGACGAUUUCCGGACGCGGGUUCGAUACCCGCCGUCUCCACCA
This 362-nucleotide transfer-messenger RNA is filed under the name bacterium. It matches the Rfam family "transfer-messenger RNA". From Rfam's summary of the family: Bacterial tmRNA, also known as 10Sa RNA or SsrA, is named for its dual tRNA and mRNA-like properties. Its role is to liberate the mRNA from a stalled ribosome. The record is from RNAcentral.